Molecule: unclassified non-coding RNA, 200 nt
Filed under: Neodevriesia sp.
Lineage: Eukaryota; Fungi; Ascomycota; Dothideomycetes; Mycosphaerellales; Neodevriesiaceae
Description: partial internal transcribed spacer 2
Source: RNAcentral
UUAAGUUCAGCGGGUAUCCCUACCUGAUCCGAGGUCAACCUUUGAUGGGGUUGUUUAACGGCACGGCCGUCCCGUCUCGCCAGCGGCUUUUGAUUCACAACGCUGAGAUUCGGUCCGUCCCGCCGGAAGUCAUUGGGGCGCGGGGCGUGUAACGGCCCCGUCGCCCAAUACCAAGCCAGGCUUGAUUGGUGUAAUGACGC